Molecule: ribosomal RNA, 451 nt
Filed under: uncultured bacterium
Lineage: Bacteria
Description: partial 16S ribosomal RNA
Rfam family: Bacterial small subunit ribosomal RNA
Source: RNAcentral
AACGAACGCUGGCGGCAGGCUUAACACAUGCAAGUCGAACGGUUGUAGCAAUACAGCAGUGGCGCACGGGUGAGUAACGCGUGGGAACGUGCUCUUCCGUUCUGGAUAACCACUGGAAACGGAGGCUAAUACAAAAUAUUCCCUUCGGGGGAAAGAUUUAUCGCUGAAGGAUCGGCCCGCGUUAGAUUAGGUAGUUGGUGGGGUAAUGGCCUACCAAGCCUACGAUCUAUAGCUGGUCUGAGUGGAUGAUCAGCCACACUGGAACUGAGACACGGUCCAGACUCCUACGGGAGGCAGCAGUGGGGAAUAUUGGACAAUGGGCGAAAGCCUGAUCCAGCCAUGCCGCGUGAGUGAUGAAGGCCUUAGGGUUGUAAAGCUCUUUUGUCAGGGAAGAUAAAGACGGUACCUGAAGAAUAAGCACCGGCUAACUUCGUGCCAGCCGCCGCAGUAA